UUAAAUCGAACAUAUUUCAGGAAAUUUUGUUUUUUUUUUUUUGGUGGGAAAAAAGGACAUAUUUUUAGUAAUAAUUUAAAAAUGUUUGAUCAUAUUGAUCUCAAAAUCGCAGAUCGAUAAGUCGGCAAGCCGACGUUUUUUUCGAUUUGAUAUCUCCAAGCUUAUAAUGCUAGAAGAACAUUAGAUAAUAAGAAUUAUGGGAGACCUGAAAAAGGAUAUGAGAAAAAAAGCUAUAAGAAUAUCUCAUUGAAGACUGAGGUAAUGAGCAAUCAUAUGCUCAUGUUCUCUAUUUACUCAAGCCUUUGAAGCUAAAAAUCCAUGUGAUCAGUAAUCUUUCUGUCUAUUAAAUCAAAAGAACUAUGAUUUUGAAGCUUGUACUGCUUUUACACAAAUCUUUAAUCAAACAUAAAUCCAGAAAAUAAUUUUCUAACAUAUCAUCAUAAUGUUUCAGCUAACCAUCUAUUAUUCUCCAUAUAUAAUAAAUAAACAAGCCUGUUUUAUGGUUAUUGGAUAUGUAUUUUGUGAAUUAUGCCCAAAAUCUGACUUAGAUUCAGAUUAAUGUGAUUGCACUGUUAUUGCAAAAUUAAAUACAGCAUUUCCCUUUUCCAUUCAACAAACACUUGAGUGUGGUUAGAUGAAUAAAACUGCAUGCAUAAGAACAAAUUGCAAGGUUAACAUACUAAUAGCAAACUUUGAGAUGGUCCUCUUUAUAGCUUCAUGGGCAUGCAUUAAUGACUAGGGAACAUGAGCUUGCACUGCAACUUGAUGAUCAACAUGUGAUCUUCUUUAUAGGUAGUGUCUAGAAUGAUGAAUUUUCUGAUAGAUCAGUUAUCAUCACCGAGCUUCUUAAAGACUGUUGAUGAGAGACAAGAGCAUAUCGGAGAAGAGAAUCUCAUCAGCAGAUAAUAAUUCAAUCAUGACAGUUUAUCAGGAAUUCAACAGGAAAAGGAGGACAGCAAAAGAGGAUGUUGGAUCUCCUCCACAAGCUGUUAAUAAUCUCUGAAAGAUGAACAAAUCAAUCAAGAAGCUCACAAGAAUACAUGACCACAAAACCACAUCAACUUGAGAUCGAAAUCGCUACACCACAGCUGACUUCUAUAAAGGGAGAGAUCCGAAUGGGAGAAACCGAAGGCAAAUUAAACAUGAUAAAGACACAAAACUUACAGGGAGAAGACAGUACUCUAGUGAUGUCUGGUUAUUACACUACAUAUAAGUAGCUAAAGCUGAAAGGAUCGGACCAAGACGCUUGAUUCCCCGUGGCAAGAAUAGGGGAGAGAGAGAGAGAGAGAGAGAGAGAGAAAGAGAGAGAGAAGCAUCCCACAUAGCUAUCGUCUUAUCUUCUCUUCAUCUCCUCCUCCUGCUCGCUUUAGCUUUUACCUGACCUCCCACUUCUGCUGAAAUGAUGGGGUAGUAAUGAUGACUGACCAAAAGGAGCAGAAGAGACGGGUGAUGGCGGUGGCAGGAGCGCCAUGAUUGAUGCUGAGCUGAAGGGCGAGGAGAGGAAGAGAAACCAAGCUGGUGGUGACUGGUACUACUAGGCUAUCUUCUUCUUCUUCUUCUUCUUCCUUCUCAUGAUCACAUGGAGGACUCAUCCAUAAUAAUUGGAUGUGAGUACAUCAUACUACAUUCCUCUUGAAGAUAAAGGUUGGGAGAGACCGAGAGGUUCAAAGCGACAAGUGAAAGGGAAAGGGAUGGGGAUGACAUGUAAGGCUUUCCGCACAGUGCCGCUUCUCCUCACUGUUGUCUUGGUGACUCGGAGAAGAGGACACGGGUGAGCAAAUGUGUUGCACGAAUCCCAAAGCACCGGUGCGAAGGAGCAAUCACCAGGGUGACUAUAAUUCAUUAUUUGACUUUGACGCGGCCAUUUGCUUUGACUUUGACUACAAUUCACAUCCGCUUUAA
This 1902-nucleotide long non-coding RNA is filed under the name Musa acuminata (dwarf banana). RNAcentral's name for it is "long non-coding RNA (MACU_LNC002398)". The record is from RNAcentral. Lineage: Eukaryota; Viridiplantae; Streptophyta; Magnoliopsida; Zingiberales; Musaceae.